UGAGGAAUAUUGGUCAAUGGACGAGAGUCUGAACCAGCCAAGUAGCGUGCAGGAUGACGGCCCUAUGGGUUGUAAACUGCUUUUGUUUGGGAAUAAUCGACAUUACGUGUAAUGUUUUGCAUGUACCAUUCGAAUAAGGACCGGCUAAUUACGUGCCAGCAGCCGCGGUAAUACGUAAGGUCCGAGCGUUGUCCGGAAUCAUUGGGCGUAAAGGGUACGUAGGCGGAUAAGCAAGUUAGAAGUGAAAUCCUAUAGCUCAACUAUAGUAAGCUUUUAAAACUGCUCAUCUUGAGGUAUGGAAGGGAAAGUGGAAUUCCUAGUGUAGCGGUGAAAUGCGCAGAUAUUAGGAGGAAUACCGGUGGCGAAGGCGACUUUCUGGCCAUAAACUGACGCUGAGGUACGAAAGCGUGGGUAGCAAACAGG
This 423-nucleotide ribosomal RNA is filed under the name Verrucomicrobiota bacterium. Its description in RNAcentral is "Verrucomicrobia bacterium partial 16S ribosomal RNA". It matches the Rfam family "Bacterial small subunit ribosomal RNA", at positions 355 to 776 of the family's 1533-position model. Lineage: Bacteria; Pseudomonadati; Verrucomicrobiota. The record is from RNAcentral.